RNAcentral lists this ribosomal RNA (2921 nucleotides) under Klebsiella pneumoniae. RNAcentral describes it as "23S ribosomal RNA". It matches the Rfam family "Bacterial large subunit ribosomal RNA". Lineage: Bacteria; Pseudomonadati; Pseudomonadota; Gammaproteobacteria; Enterobacterales; Enterobacteriaceae. The record is from RNAcentral.
GGGUUGUGAGGUUAAGCGACUAAGCGUACACGGUGGAUGCCCUGGCAGUCAGAGGCGAUGAAGGACGUGCUAAUCUGCGAAAAGCGUCGGUAAGGUGAUAUGAACCGUUAUAACCGGCGAUGUCCGAAUGGGGAAACCCAGUGCAAUUCGUUGCACUAUCGUUAACUGAAUACAUAGGUUAACGAGGCGAACCGGGGGAACUGAAACAUCUAAGUACCCCGAGGAAAAGAAAUCAACCGAGAUUCCCCCAGUAGCGGCGAGCGAACGGGGAGCAGCCCAGAGUCUGAAUCAGCUUGUGUGUUAGUGGAACGGUCUGGAAAGUCCGACGGUACAGGGUGAUAGUCCCGUACACCAAAAUGCACAGGUUGUGAACUCGAAGAGUAGGGCGGGACACGUGGUAUCCUGUCUGAAUAUGGGGGGACCAUCCUCCAAGGCUAAAUACUCCUGACUGACCGAUAGUGAACCAGUACCGUGAGGGAAAGGCGAAAAGAACCCCGGCGAGGGGAGUGAAAAAGAACCUGAAACCGUGUACGUACAAGCAGUGGGAGCACCUUCGGGUGUGACUGCGUACCUUUUGUAUAAUGGGUCAGCGACUUAUAUUCUGUAGCAAGGUUAACCGUAUAGGGGAGCCGCAGGGAAACCGAGUCUUAACUGGGCGUUAAGUUGCAGGGUAUAGACCCGAAACCCGGUGAUCUAGCCAUGGGCAGGUUGAAGGUUGGGUAACACUAACUGGAGGACCGAACCGACUAAUGUUGAAAAAUUAGCGGAUGACUUGUGGCUGGGGUGAAAGGCCAAUCAAACCGGGAGAUAGCUGGUUCUCCCCGAAAGCUAUUUAGGUAGCGCCUCGUGAACUCAUCUUCGGGGUAGAGCACUGUUUCGGCUAGGGGGUCAUCCCGACUUACCAACCCGAUGCAAACUACGAAUACCGAAGAAUGUUAUCACGGGAGACACACGGCGGGUGCUAACGUCCGUCGUGAAGAGGGAAACAACCCAGACCGCCAGCUAAGGUCCCAAAGUCAUGGUUAAGUGGGAAACGAUGUGGGAAGGCACAGACAGCCAGGAUGUUGGCUUAGAAGCAGCCAUCAUUUAAAGAAAGCGUAAUAGCUCACUGGUCGAGUCGGCCUGCGCGGAAGAUGUAACGGGGCUAAACCAUGCACCGAAGCUGCGGCAGCGACACUAUGUGUUGUUGGGUAGGGGAGCGUUCUGUAAGCCUGCGAAGGUGUGCUGUGAGGCAUGCUGGAGGUAUCAGAAGUGCGAAUGCUGACAUAAGUAACGAUAAAGCGGGUGAAAAGCCCGCUCGCCGGAAGACCAAGGGUUCCUGUCCAACGUUAAUCGGGGCAGGGUGAGUCGACCCCUAAGGCGAGGCCGAAAGGCGUAGUCGAUGGGAAACAGGUUAAUAUUCCUGUACUUGGUGUUACUGCGAAGGGGGGACGGAGAAGGCUAUGUUAGCCGGGCGACGGUUGUCCCGGUUUAAGCAUGUAGGCUGGUUAUCCAGGCAAAUCCGGAUAAUCAAGGCUGAGGUGUGAUGACGAGGCACUACGGUGCUGAAGUAACAAAUGCCCUGCUUCCAGGAAAAGCCUCUAAGCAUCAGGUAACAUCAAAUCGUACCCCAAACCGACACAGGUGGUCAGGUAGAGAAUACCAAGGCGCUUGAGAGAACUCGGGUGAAGGAACUAGGCAAAAUGGUGCCGUAACUUCGGGAGAAGGCACGCUGGUGUGUAGGUGAAGUCCCUGCGGAUGGAGCUGAGACCAGUCGAAGAUACCAGCUGGCUGCAACUGUUUAUUAAAAACACAGCACUGUGCAAACACGAAAGUGGACGUAUACGGUGUGACGCCUGCCCGGUGCCGGAAGGUUAAUUGAUGGGGUUAUCCGUAAGGAGAAGCUCUUGAUCGAAGCCCCGGUAAACGGCGGCCGUAACUAUAACGGUCCUAAGGUAGCGAAAUUCCUUGUCGGGUAAGUUCCGACCUGCACGAAUGGCGUAACGAUGGCGGCGCUGUCUCCACCCGAGACUCAGUGAAAUUGAACUCGCUGUGAAGAUGCAGUGUACCCGCGGCAAGACGGAAAGACCCCGUGAACCUUUACUAUAGCUUGACACUGAACAUUGAGCCUUGAUGUGUAGGAUAGGUGGGAGGCUUUGAAGCGUGGACGCCAGUCUGCGUGGAGCCAACCUUGAAAUACCACCCUUUAAUGUUUGAUGUUCUAACGUUGGCCCCUGACCGGGGUUGCGGACAGUGUCUGGUGGGUAGUUUGACUGGGGCGGUCUCCUCCCAAAGCGUAACGGAGGAGCACGAAGGUUAGCUAAUCCUGGUCGGACAUCAGGAGGUUAGUGCAAUGGCAUAAGCUAGCUUGACUGCGAGCGUGACGGCGCGAGCAGGUGCGAAAGCAGGUCAUAGUGAUCCGGUGGUUCUGAAUGGAAGGGCCAUCGCUCAACGGAUAAAAGGUACUCCGGGGAUAACAGGCUGAUACCGCCCAAGAGUUCAUAUCGACGGCGGUGUUUGGCACCUCGAUGUCGGCUCAUCACAUCCUGGGGCUGAAGUAGGUCCCAAGGGUAUGGCUGUUCGCCAUUUAAAGUGGUACGCGAGCUGGGUUUAGAACGUCGUGAGACAGUUCGGUCCCUAUCUGCCGUGGGCGCUGGAGAAUUGAGGGGGGCUGCUCCUAGUACGAGAGGACCGGAGUGGACGCAUCACUGGUGUUCGGGUUGUCAUGCCAAUGGCACUGCCCGGUAGCUAAAUGCGGAAGAGAUAAGUGCUGAAAGCAUCUAAGCACGAAACUUGCCCCGAGAUGAGUUCUCCCUGAGACUAUAAGUCUCCUGAAGGAACGUUAAAGACGAUGACGUUGAUAGGCCGGGUGUGUAAGCGCAGCGAUGCGUUGAGCUAACCGGUACUAAUGAACCGUGAGGCUUAACCUUACAACGCCGAAG